This 685-nucleotide ribosomal RNA is filed under the name uncultured cyanobacterium. RNAcentral's name for it is "bacterial SSU rRNA". It matches the Rfam family "Bacterial small subunit ribosomal RNA", at positions 60 to 787 of the family's 1533-position model. The record is from RNAcentral. Lineage: Bacteria; Bacillati; Cyanobacteriota.
AGUCGAACGGCACCUUUCGGGGUGCAGUGGCGGACGGGUGAGUAACGCGUGAGAAUCUGGCUCCAGGUUCGGGACAACCAUUGGAAACGGUGGCUAAUACCGGAUGUGCCUAAGGGUGAAAGAUUAAUCGCCUGGAGAUGAGCUCGCGUCUGAUUAGCUAGUUGGUGGGGUAAGGGCUUACCAAGGCGACGAUCAGUAGCUGGUCUGAGAGGACGAUCAGCCACACUGGGACUGAGACACGGCCCAGACUCCUACGGGAGGCAGCAGUGGGGAAUUUUCCGCAAUGGGCGAAAGCCUGACGGAGCAAUACCGCGUGAGGGAGGAAGGCUCUUGGGUUGUAAACCUCUUUUCUCAGGGAAGAACGCAAUGACGGUACCUGAGGAAUCAGCAUCGGCUAACUCCGUGCCAGCAGCCGCGGUAAUACGGAGGAUGCAAGCGUUAUCCGGAAUGAUUGGGCGUAAAGGGUUCGCAGGUGGUAGUGAAAGUUUGCUGUUAAAAGUCGGGGCUCAACCCCGAACCGGCGGUGAAAACUACACAACUAGAGUGCGGUAGGGGCAGAGGGAAUUCCUGGUGUAGCGGUGAAAUGCGUAGAGCUCAGGAAGAACACCGGUGGCGAAAGCGCUCUGCUAGACCUGCACUGACACUGAGGGACGAAAGCUAGGGGAGCGAAUGGGAUUAGAUACCC